This 579-nucleotide ribosomal RNA is filed under the name uncultured bacterium. Its description in RNAcentral is "partial 16S ribosomal RNA". It matches the Rfam family "Bacterial small subunit ribosomal RNA", at positions 355 to 932 of the family's 1533-position model. The record is from RNAcentral.
UGGGGAAUUUUGGACAAUGGGCGAAAGCCUGAUCCAGCAAUGCCGCGUGUGUGAAGAAGGCCUUCGGGUUGUAAAGCACUUUUGUCCGGAAAGAAAUCCUUGGCUCUAAUACAGUCGGGGGAUGACGGUACCGGAAGAAUAAGCACCGGCUAACUACGUGCCAGCAGCCGCGGUAAUACGUAGGGUACAAGCGUUAAUCGGAAUUACUGGGCGUAAAGCGUGCGCAGGCGGUUUGCUAAGACCGAUGUGAAAUCCCCGGGCUCAACCUGGGAACUGCAUUGGUGACUGGCAGGCUAGAGUAUGGCAGAGGGGGGUAGAAUUCCACGUGUAGCAGUGAAAUGCGUAGAGAUGUGGAGGAAUACCGAUGGCGAAGGCAGCCCCCUGGGCCAAUACUGACGCUCAUGCACGAAAGCGUGGGGAGCAAACAGGAUUAGAUACCCUGGUAGUCCACGCCCUAAACGAUGUCAACUAGUUGUUGGGGAUUCAUUUCCUUAGUAACGUAGCUAACGCGUGAAGUUGACCGCCUGGGGAGUACGGUCGCAAGAUUAAAACUCAAAUGAAUUGACGGGGUCAUAGCUG